Molecule: ribosomal RNA, 402 nt
Filed under: uncultured bacterium
Lineage: Bacteria
Description: partial 16S ribosomal RNA
Rfam family: Bacterial small subunit ribosomal RNA
Source: RNAcentral
UAGGGAAUCUUGCGCAAUGGGCGAAAGCCUGACGCAGCCAUGCCGCGUGAAUGAUGAAGGUCUUAGGAUUGUAAAAUUCUUUCACCGGGGACGAUAAUGACGGUACCCGGAGAAGAAGCCCCGGCUAACUUCGUGCCAGCAGCCGCGGUAAUACGAAGGGGGCUAGCGUUGCUCGGAAUUACUGGGCGUAAAGGGAGCGUAGGCGGAUAGUUUAGUCAGAGGUGAAAGCCCAGGGCUCAACCUUGGAAUUGCCUUUGAUAUUGGCUAUCUUGAGUAUGGAAGAGGUAUGUGGAACUCCGAGUGUAGAGGUGAAAUUCGUAGAUAUUCGGAGGAACACCAGUGGCGAAGGCGACAUACUGGUCCAUUACUGACGCUGAGGCUCGAAAGCGUGGGGAGCAAACA